Molecule: ribosomal RNA, 254 nt
Filed under: uncultured bacterium
Lineage: Bacteria
Description: partial 16S ribosomal RNA
Rfam family: Bacterial small subunit ribosomal RNA
Source: RNAcentral
UACGUAGGGACCAAGCGUUGUUCGGAUUUACUGGGCGUAAAGGGCGCGUAGGCGGCAAUUCAAGUCAUCUGUGAAAUCUCCGGGCUUAACCCGGAACGGUCAGGUGAUACUGUUUUGCUAGAGUGCGGAAGGGGCAAGCGGAAUUCUCGGUGUAGCGGUGAAAUGCGUAGAUAUCGAGAGGAACACCAGAGGUGAAGACGGGUUGCUGGGCCGACACUGACGCUGACAGCGCGAAAGCCAGGGGAGCAAACGGG